AUUGAACGCUGGCGGCAAGCCUAACACAUGCAAGUCGAGCGGAUGAAGGGAGCUUGCUCCUGGAUUCAGCGGCGGACGGGUGAGUAAUGCCUAGGAAUCUGCCUGGUAGUGGGGGAUAACGUCCGGAAACGGGCGCUAAUACCGCAUACGUCCUGAGGGAGAAAGUGGGGGAUCUUCGGACCUCACGCUCUCAGAUGAGCCUAGGUCGGAUUAGCUAGUUGGUGGGGUAAAGGCCUACCAAGGCGACGAUCCGUAACUGGUCUGAGAGGAUGAUCAGUCACACUGGAACUGAGACACGGUCCAGACUCCUACGGGAGGCAGCAGUGGGGAAUAUUGGACAAUGGGCGAAAGCCUGAUCCAGCCAUGCCGCGUGUGUGAAGAAGGUCUUCGGAUUGUAAAGCACUUUAAGUGGGGAGGAAGGGCAGUAAGUUAAUACCUUGCUGUUUUGACGGUACCAACAGAAUAAGCACCGGCUAACUUCGUG
This 484-nucleotide ribosomal RNA is filed under the name uncultured bacterium. Its description in RNAcentral is "partial 16S ribosomal RNA". It matches the Rfam family "Bacterial small subunit ribosomal RNA", at positions 30 to 507 of the family's 1533-position model. The record is from RNAcentral.